GUAUUAAUUGCGUGUGAUCGCAAAAAGAAAAACAUUCUACACUGUAUCGAGUUUGUGUGAAAACGUGAGCCCCCGAAAGGGGACCCACGCGGUGGUGCACAGGGUGAGAUGGAUUGUUUGAGAGCGCUCGGGCGUGCACGACAAAAAAGUCAGCGACAGCCCUUGCACCUCAGUUUUACGAUAAUGAUCCUUCCGCAGGUUCACCUACGGAAA
RNAcentral lists this unclassified non-coding RNA (213 nucleotides) under uncultured fungus. RNAcentral describes it as "sequence contains ITS1". Lineage: Eukaryota; Fungi. The record is from RNAcentral.